This 21455-nucleotide long non-coding RNA is filed under the name Populus trichocarpa (black cottonwood). Its description in RNAcentral is "long non-coding RNA (PTRI_LNC001104)". Lineage: Eukaryota; Viridiplantae; Streptophyta; Magnoliopsida; Malpighiales; Salicaceae. The record is from RNAcentral.
AUCAUAAUUGAAAAAACAAUGCCCAAUCUUAUAAGUGUCUAAGUAAUUUCAACCAGAAUCUAAUCUAAUAUAGCUAGAAUUCAAAUCAUUUAAUGUAUGGAUCAGCACUGUAAUAUUGUUAUUGCAUCCUUAAUUAAUAACGUACGUACCACGGGAAGACUCGGAAGACAGGAUUUCAAUCAUUUUGCGGGAGCCAACAGUAUUAACCCAGCUUUUGUUACCGUCAGCGAGUCCUAUUGUCUGCACAACAGAACCGCAGACAUUCGGUAAGAAGUUUGCUUGUUUCUUGAAGAAUUUAUAGAAAGCAUCAGUAGAGCAUUGAAUUGGUGUUUCCACGACUUUUCUGCAAAGGCGAGCCAUAUCUUUGAUCUUUUGUAGACUAGUAAGUAGCUAAGAGACCUCCUUGGCUAGAUAACUGACAAGGAGUGAAGAAAUGCAGUGAAGAAAUGUAGAGUCCUCUCCUUGGUAUUAUAUAGAAGAAAAGCCCAGCGUUAACCCUCUUGUUAUUCAUCUUUUGUCAAGCCAAUAGGUCAUUUUCACAUGUCACCUUUCACACAGUUGUCGAAAUUUAGAAUGCAUUCCCACCAGUAGCUCAUGUUCACACGAUACCUUUUAAAGCAAUAAUAUGGUUCUGAUAAUUGAAUGUUAUUUGUAGUUUUAUUAAACAAUUUUCCAACGAUCUUAUGGCUAAAUUUUUACUUAUUUAUUAAUUAUUUAGUUUAAUAUAUUUUGUUGUUAUUUAAUUUAUAACUUUUUUAAUACAGUACUUUUUAAAAAAAUUUUAAUAUGCACAUUCUAGGUCAGAUUUUAAUUAAAAUAGAUAUUUAGCUGUUGUUUCUUUACAAUAAAAAUAAUUAUGGCUUCUAGUUAAGAGAUUGUUGCUCCUACAAUUGCUGCAAUGACAAGUUCUAUUAUAGCAUUAUCUUAUGUGAUUUAUUAUGAAAAACCUGAAAACUUAAUAGUUUAAACUUUAAGAGGUCGUAAUAAAAGAUGUAAUUUUAUCUAACCAUCUUAAACUUGAAAAAGUUUUUAACUGAAGAUGCGUCAAAGCUGUUAGAUGAUGAAUCUAAUACCACUAUUGUGGUAACUAUGGAUGAAUUGAUGCAAUGCGAUUUUGUAUGCAAAAACUACGUUUUGAAUGGAAUGGAGAAUACAUUUUAUGACGGGUAAAGUUGCAUUAAUAAUGUAAAGAUACUAUAAGAAUAUUUUGGUUAGAAGUACAAAGCUAAAGAUGCCACUAUGAAAAUAUUCAUAAUCAAUUAAACUCUUGACUUCAAUAUAGUUGAUUCAAUGUCUAUAAUUAGUGAAGUUCAAGAGUUUCAACUUAUCUUACAUGAUGUUCUUGCCCAGGGGAUGGUUUUGAGUGAAUCUUUCUACGUGGUUGUUAUUAUUAAAAAAUUACCACUAACUUAGAAAAAUUUCAAGAACUACUUUAAAUAUAAGAAAGAAAAGAUGGUAGUUGAAGACCUUAUUGUAAGGUUGAGGAUAGAAGAUUGGCGACAAGUUUUUCAAGAAGAUAACCAACUCUUAUUUAAUGACCUUUGGGAGAAUUUAAUUAAACAACUAACAAAGUCUCAUAAUAAAAACCAAAAUAAUAAUCUUGUUGUGAAGAGAAAAUAUAUUGCUAAGAGAUUUAGUGGCAAAUGCUUUAUCUACAAUAAGACUAGAUAUCAAGCAAAAGAUUAUAGAAAUAAGUCUAAGUAAGGUAACUUUAAGAAAGAAAGGGCAACUCAAGCUAAUGCUAUUGAGAUUGAUGACCUUUCGAAUGAAGUGUUAGAGAUGAGCAUGUAUAUGGCUAGCUACAAAGUCAAUCUGAUUAAUAAUCCUGAGUAGUGAUGAAUUGAAUAGUGUUACAAGAGAUGUAUACACUGAGAUGAGGAUGUUCUCCCCUUACAAAGAGAUUAAUGAUGAAUAACUUUACAAGGAAAAUUCAUCAACUUUAAAGGUACUAGGUGUUGUUGGAAAGGUUAUUAUAAAUACGACUUUCAAAAAGCUUUCCAGCCUCAAUAAUGUGCUUCAUGGUAUUGAUAUUAGGAAGAACUUAAUAUAUUGCUCAUUAUUAAGUGAAAAUGGUUUUCGGGUGGUCUUUGAAAAUUAUAAUUUAUACUAACUAAAAGUGGGAUGUCUGUAGAAAAAAAGGGUAUCUUUGUGAUCACAUUUUCAAAAUAAAUGUAAUGACUAUUGUAACCAAAGAUAAGAUUGAUAAUAAUAAGAAUACCUCUUAUCCUUACUUUCUUAAGUAUUGUGAUCGAUAUGUAGCAUAACAUGUUAUAAUAUAUGAAUUAUAAUUCUAUAUAAAUAUUAAUUAAUCUUGAAUUAUUACUAAUUAUGGUUCUUGAGAAAAAUAAUAAAUGUGAAGUUUAUACAUAAUCAAAAUUCACAAUUUUUUUUUAAAACAAUUGAAAGAUGUAGUGAACCUUUAGAUUUAAUCCAUUCAGAUAAUAAUUAUUUAUAAUUUAAGGAAACUAGAAGUGGAAAAAAAAAAUUGCAUUACUUUUUAUAUAUUAUUGUACAAGAUGUUAAUUUACCUAUAUGCUAAAAAGCAAAGUUAAGACUCUUAAGAUGUUUAAACAUUAAGAAAAAAAAGUUAAAAACAACUUAAUAAAAAGAUAAAGGUAAGAAAAAUAGAUAGAGGUGGAAAAUAUAAAACACCAUUUGAUGAAUUAUAUUUCUAAAAUGGUAUUAUUCACCAAACUAUCGCUUUUUAUUCAUAUAAUCAAAAUGGCAUUGUAAAGCAAAAAAACAACUAAAAUUUAAAGGAAAUGAUGAAUGUCAUAUUGAUAAGUUUGAGAGCACCUUAAAACUUAUAAGAGAAGGAAAUUUUGACUGCCAAUUAUAUGUCACAUGAAGUUAGAAAAGACACCAUAUUGGUUGUAGAAAGGUAGAAGACCUUCCAAUAAAAACUUUAAAGUGGGGAGGUAUUUUGAAAAGUAGUAAUACUUGAUCUUAAAAGGGUCAAGAUAGGACCUGAAACUAUGAAUUAUGUAUUUUGGAUAUGCUUACAAUAGUAGUGUAUUUUAAUUUCUUAUACCCAAGUCAAGUAUUGAAGAUUUUUAUCUGAAUACAAUAAUAGAAUCAAGGAAUGAUAUAUUCUUUAAAGACAUGUCUUCUUUUAAAGAAGCGUAAAAAAUCCAUUCAUUUAAGAGGAUGAGUGAAGCAAGCUUAAGUAGUCAUCAUCUAAUAAAAUAUGAUGAAGUUGAGAUGAGGAGUAAAAGAGAAAAAUUGACACAAAUUCUAAGUCCUAAUUUUCUAGUGUACUUGUUAAAAAAUAAACUUCAAAACUAUUCUAAGGUAAUAUCUCUAUUGAAAGGAGAUUGUUAAUAGUGAAAUUGAAUUUAGUAUUUAUGUAGAAGGUUCUGAUAAAUCAAAACUCGUUUUAUUGUAUUCGAACCAUAUAAAUAGCCUAAUAGUUAAGUAUUGGACUUGAUAGAAAGGUCCAAACCUAAAAAGAGAUCUGGUCAUGUUAAAUAACCUGGAUGAUAGGAAGGCCCAUAACUUUUUAUUUGAUUGUUUGAUAGGGCUCAUAGUUUUUCAAAAGACUCUACAGGCCUAGAUCUAUGUGAGUUAGGUAGCUAUAACCAUUUUAGGUUGGAAAGGUCUUCAAAUUAGGCAUAGAAGUUUCUAUUUCUAUGAAUUUGUUACUUUCCUAGUUAAUUUUAGAUUUUUAUCUUGAUUUAAAAAAUGUGUUAUUUUCAUAUUUCAAUUAGAAUUAGAAUCAUAAUUAUUCAUAUCCCGUAAAGGUUAGUUUAAGGUCUAUUUAAAAGAGUUUUAACUAUGUUUUAAGGGAAGACAACUAGAAAUAAUUAUUCAAAAAUAAUAAUGCAAAUUAGGAUUUCUAUGUGAUCUCUUCUUCAAAAAAUUAUGCCUUAUUCUUUAAUUCCUAUUCCUCAAGUCUAGCUAAGUCAGCUGAUAUUAGAACACAACAAUCCUUUAUAGUAUGUUGUUGUGAGCUUUUAAAUAAUCAUGACUAGAAAAGGUCACAAGAUAGGUCGUCUUCAUAUAGGAGGUGAUGAAAAGGUUCCACAUUAAGAACAAGAUGUCCAAAAGCGUGACAAUAACAAACCAAAAAUUAACUAGUUGACUAGUAGAGAAAGACAUGUUGAGGCAAGUUAUAGAACUAACUCAUCAAUUGUCAUAGAGAAACCUAGAGGAUCAUAAACAGAAUGAUCAUGCACCUAUAACCACUUUUGAGAACCCAUUUCUAAUUUGUUAGUAGAGGAGACAUCCUUAAGAUGAAUAUGAUAUUAAAAAUGGAAUUGUUUUUAGAUACUAGUUUUUUUAUGGAUUGAAAUCAACCAUUAAAAUUCAAUGAGGAACAAGCUCAAGAUACCGUUAAGCUUAAUGGUUAUUGAAAUCCUAUUUUUUAUUUAUAUAAAUUUAGAUUUACAAGGAUUUUCUUAUGAAAAGAAGAGUUAUUUUGAUACUCCAAAAGAGUUUUUUAGAGUUAAUUUUAAAAACAUCAAAGUAGUAAACAUUUCAAACCACAGAGAAAUCAAUGGGCCAACCUACUAUUCCUUGCUAAUAAUCAAGUGUCCAAAGUUUAUACUUGAACAAUUUCAAGGUGGUUUUGGUAUGGUCAAAAAAGGUGUAUUGCUAAAAAAAAAACAUCCUAGUUGCGGUCAAGGAUAAUAACAUUAUACUGGAUUUUGAAUUCAAUGCUCGGUUAAGAGAUUUUAGUUUGGCAUGUGCAUUGGAGAAUGAUAUGAAGUCCUUUAAAGAGCUAUAAUGUGUGCCUAUUUUAAGGCCUAUUCCAAAUUUAUUUGUACUACUAGUUCAACCGAGACAACAUCUUGGUGGUUGUUGGCUAGCAAACCUAGUAACUAGUUUUACUAAUGUAACCAUAACUAUUGGUGAUGAAUGGGAAAAUGAUUGCUAGUGAACUACUUUAUGUUAUACUUACACUAAGAAAGAAGAUAAAAAGCACGGCUAUAGGUUUAAUUUCUUAAAUACGAUCAAUUAUAGGCUCAUCUUUGCAUACAUUACUUGCACCAAGAAUAAUUUGAACUCAAGGAAGAGUUCUUUUGAACAUAAGGAGAUUGUUGUAAGGGGUUUUGAUCAAACAUGAAGCUUUUUAGUAAUACACAUAACUUUCAAUCUAACUAUUACACUAGUCUAAAUUGUUUUUAGGAGAUUCUAAAAACCAUGUAUCCUAUAAUGUUAAGUUUUUGUAGUCAUUAUGCCUAAAAGGUACUACUUAGAUUUGAUCAUAUUUUCCUAGUUAAUUUAGGGUUCAAUUUUCUAUUUAGUGUAUAACUCUUUUAUUGUUUUUCCUAUUCUAUUUAGGAAAUUGUUUUGCAUUAAUAUUGACGUAUAUCCUAGAGAAUAAAAUUCAAAUUAUUUUUCUCACGCUGUAAGAAUUGUAUAUGACUAAUUAAGUUUUCUAAAGCCAUUUUUGUAUAUUUCUUCUUGUUAACCUUUCCAUCAAUAGAAUAAAGUGUCAAUAUUCAUAAAGAGAUUAAUUAUCCAUUUAUCAGUGAUCCAAGGGUUCUUUGACAAAUAUUUGUUUAUAUACUUUUUUUUGUCUAUGUCGAAUGCUUUGUUAAAUGUAAGUAUGGAUUUUGUGUUUGGUAUGCCUUGAACCUAACAAGUUAUGGAUUAAAUCCUUAUAGUGGUUGAAAGGUUCUCAAAGAUGGCUCGUUUUAUUGACUAUAGGAAUACCAUGAAUGUUAUUGAAUUGCCUAUCUCUACUUCAAGAAAAUGGUUUGUUUACAUGGAAUUCCUAAGUCUAUUAUUUGUGAUUAAAAUACCAAGUGCAUAAACAACAUUGAUAAGAGUUUAUGGGAUAAGAGAACUCAAUUGAAUUUUAGCAAUGCUUAACAUCCUAAAAAACAAGGAUAAAAAAGUGGUAAAUCACAACUUAAGGAAUCUAUUUUGGAGCUGGUGAGAAAAUAAACCAAAGCAAUGGGAUUUGUCCUUAUCAUAAAAGGAGUUUUCUCUUAAAAGGUCAAGGAAUUGGACUACUCAAUUGAGUUCUUUUGAGGUUUUUAUGGAUAGAAAUCCUUCAUAUGUUUUUGAUUUGACACCUAAUCCUUGAAUUCCAUUAAAAAAAGUUAAUUUUAAAGUCGUAGACAUGGUAUGGAUGGUGUUUACUUGUGAUAGAUUUACUUUGAGGGAGUAUAACAAGCUUUAGGAAAAGAAAAAUUGGUCAUUGUAAGAUGCUGCAAUAGAUCAAUGAUAAUUCUUAUCGACUUCAUGUUUUUAUUCAUUAAUACUUCUAAUAUUUUUAAUGUUUAGUAUUUAUCUCCUUUUCUAGUGGAUGACUAGAACUCAAUGAUGAAUUUUCUUCUAAGCAGGGAGGUUAAUGCUAGUUAAUUAGAAACACAUUUAUUAUAUUUUGAUUAUGUGGAUAGCCUAACAUAUUAUUAUUUAGACCAGAUUUCAGGCCAAAGACUAAGAAAAGGCUUAGUCAUGCCAAAUGACUUAUAUGACAAAAAGACUUAUAGCCUUGGAUCUGACUAUUGGAAUAGACUCAAUUUUUUUCAGGAAAUUUUAUAAGCCCAAUUCUAUAAAAUAUAGGUUGAUUAUAACCAUCCAAGAAUGAGAAGGCCUUUAAAUUAAAUUUAUAAAUUGCUGCUUUUAUCAGUUUUGUUAAAAAAAUAGGUUGAUUAUAACCAUCCAAGAAUGAGAAAGCCUUUAAAUUAGAUUUAUAAAUAAAUGCUUUUAUCAGUUUUGUUAUUUUCCUAGUUAUUUUUUAUAGCUUGAUUUUAGAUUAAUUGUUAUUUUCCAUCUUGAAUUGGAAUUCUAAUUAUUCAUAUCUUGUAAACUUUUGGUUUAAGGCCUAUUUAAGAUCAUUGUAACCCUAUUUUGAGGGUAGACUAUAAAAAGAUAAUUAUAUAGUAAUAAAACUAUGAAUUUGGGUUUCCAUGUUAUCUGUUCUUCUAAAAAUCUUGUCUUUCUUGUUUUUUUUAUUCCUAUUUUUUAGGUUUGGUUGCAUCAUUUAUGCAAAACCAUACAUGAAAAUUAAUGGAUCUUCCAUCCGGAAGUAAACCGUUAGACUAUAAAUAGAUAUUCAAUAAGAAGAUGGAAGCUGGUGGAACUAUUGAUAUAUACCAUGUAAGACUUAUUGUUAAAGGAUUUAACUAUUUUGACACAUAUUCAUCUAUGUCAAGUACAACUUUCGUAUGAAUAUUAAUAGCCACCACAUCUAUUAAUAAUCUUGAAGUAUAUCAAAUGAAUGUAAAGAAAACUUUUUUAAAUGAUGACCUUGAUGAGGAGGUCUACAUGAAGUAACAUGAGGAGUUUGUAGUUAAAAGGCAAGAAACAAAAGUCAAUAAGUUUAUUAAGUCAUUAUAUGGUUUGCAAUAAGUAACUAAGACAAACAUGUAAAUUUUGACAAGGUUGUGUUAUCAAAUAAUUUUAAAAUUAACAAAUGUGAUAAAUGUGUUUAUGUAAAAACUAAAAAUAAAAGUUAUGUCAUUAUAUAUUUUUAUGUAGAUGACAUGUUAAUUUUAGGCAACAAUAAACACAUGAUCAAAUCUACCAAAAACAAUUUAACUAAUAAAUUUGACCUAAAAGACUUGGGUGUUGCAGAUAUCAUAUUAGGAUUUAAAAUUUCUUGGAUAUCUAAUGGAUUAGUAAUGUCUUAAUCUCAUUAUGUUGAGAAAGUUCUUGAUAAAUUUUUUAAAGUGACAAUAUCAUUAUCAAAAUACCAAUGGAUAUAAGUGUGCAUCUAUAAAAAACAAAGGUAAGGGAAUACACCAAUUAGAACAUUCUCAAACAAUUGAAAGCUUGAUGUAUGAAAUAAACUAUACAAGAUCAAAUAUAUUGCAUACUUAGUUACCAAGUUAAAUAGAUUUACUAAGAAUCCAAGCAUGAAUCAUUGAAAAAUAAUAAUUAGUGUGCUCAAAUAUUUAAGAUACGCCUUGUAUUAUAGGCUACGCUAUACUUGAUAUCUUAAUAUGGUACUAGAAAGUUAUAGUGCUGUGAAUUGUAUAUCAGACACCAAGGAUUAUUGGAUAUUUCUUCACACUCAAUGGAGUAACAAUGAAUUGGAAAUCUUAUAAGCAAAUAUGCAUUGCAAGAUCCAUGAUAUAAUCAAAUUUUAUUUCUUUGUCUAUUCCUAUGAUGAAAAAGGGUGCUUAUAUCACACUCUUAAUGAGAAAUUAGGGCUAAAGUUAUUUUCAUAUAUUGGUUUAUCAAGUGGAGUAUAACAACAUAAUCUUAAUAAGACAUCAUCUAUAUAGUAGAAAAUGUAGAUGUUUCUUUGAGAAUUUUAAAAGACCGAAUUCUUUAAAGCAUUCAUGAAACUAAAAGUUGUUUAGGAACAAAAUAAACACCAUUAUGAAAACGAAAGAAAACUCUAAGAAGAGAACUGCGUGGGUACUAUUAUCCUGGUUUACACAAAAAAAUUGAAUAAUUCAAGACACCAUGUUCACUAAUUGGCCAAAUAAAUUGGAUAGUACUUGACUAAGAAAAGUUCAAAUUCAAAAGCUACUAUUCUAAUAUAGUGAUAUUCAAAUUCAUUUUUUCUCUAUAUUCAUUUUGUCUAAGGAUUGUUGAAAAUGGCUUUGAAAUGGUAUUUACAUAUCUUUUAAAAUCAUUAAUAGUAAUGUGAAAUUUAAUGAUCAAUUUCUUUCUAUCUUGUCAAAUUCAUUGAUUAUAAAAAUACAAUAAAUUUUCAUGAAAUAAUUCUAAUUAGUCUUGAAUUAAUUAUGUUCUAUUGAAUCCUUUUAGAUUCAUUAAUUAUGUGAAUUCAAUGAAUUGUUAGAAUUAAUUCUAAUUAAUAUUAAAUUAAUUCAAUUCAAUUAAAUCUUCUAAGAUUCAUUGAUUUUUCAAAUUCAAUUAAUUAUUAUGAAUUCAUUCUAAUUAAUUUGAAUGAAUUUCUCUUCCCUCGCCUCCUAUAUAAAUAGGGUAAAAGGAGUUCAUUCUUAUAAGUUGAAGAGGUAGAAAGUAGACAAUAGAGUAAAUUUUCUAGUUCAUAGGCCUUGAUUAGUGCAUUAUUUUGAGGUAUUGUCAUCGAAAUCUUUCGAGGCAAGUUGAAUUGAGAUCGUUUGUACCUAUUAAUGAGUAAUUUAACCUUAAGAAUAGAAGGUACAAUUCUCAAUAAUAGCUUUCUUUCCUAUCUUGGUUUUGAUUUGAAAUUCUACAAGUAAGUACUUUAUAUGUUUAUAUUUGUUUUUUACUUAUUUUUUUAUAUUAUUUUUUUAUAUUAUCCUGCAAAUAUAAUUAUAUAUAAUUGAUUUUACUAUAUAAUUUCCCAAUAAAGUUUAUAUUAGAUCCUUGCUAACAUAUCACACAAUAUAUGUGACUAAUUUUGUUGAAAAACCAAUCAAUUAUUUAAAUUUUGUAGAUAUUGUUAAAAAAAUAAGAUUUUGGACCGGAUGUGGUAAAAAAUUGGGCUCCUUGUAAGGAGAAAAAGAAAUAGCAUUUGAAGAAUUAAACGGACCUAAUUGGGGAGAGGAAGGAGAGAGAAAGGAGGAAGAUAGACAUCACAUGAAAAAAUAAAACAUUUUGAACAAAAAAAAUAGAAAACCACCCUUCGAUGUUACAUUAAUUGUAAGAAAGGAUGUGGGCAUUUGUGCAAUGUUAAUCUCUCCAAAAGGUGGGGAGGUUAUUAGAAUAUUAAUUAGAAUUAAAGGGAAAAAUCAUAUUUUAACAAUGUGGGUAUUUAUUUAACUAAAUCGAAGCUAUACUUAAUCCAAAUCAUUGCAACUAAAUCAUAUUUUAACUAAAACAUUUCCAAAAUAGAUUUCUCAAAUAAUAAUUCAAUAAUUUAUCAAAUACAAUAUAUUAUUUAUACACAAUUUUCAUCAUAUCGUCAAAAUCUAAAAUCUAAAUUCAAACACCAAUUAAGCAAGUAUCUUUUGGAUUCCCUAACACAUUCUUGAAUGAUGCGUAGUCUUUACUCUAUCAAUAACUACUAAAAGUAAAAUGAUGAGAUAGUUUAAAUUUGGUUAGUGUAUGUAUAAAAGUAAGAAUUAUACUUGAAUAUCAAUAUUUUCUUUUGAACAAAAGCAUGAUUAAGAAUUAUCCUUGAAUUAUGAAUAAGUGAAACUUGUGGAUGUGGAGUGAAAUAGAAAUUAAAAUAUUAUGGAUUGGGAAAGACGAAUCUGCUCAUGAAUUGUACAGAAAAGGAGAAAUCAGAAUAAGAAUAUAGGAAUUAAUUAGCAUGAUUAAAAAUUUCUCUACCUUUAAAGGAACCGUUGGAUAACUUUUUUUCAUUCGAACUUAGUAUCCAAGAAUUCGAAAGAAUAAGAAUAUAGUAUAAGAUUGAUCUUUUUGAGGAGUGGUGGUCUCCAAAAAUUCCUUAUCUCAUGCCUAAAGUGCUAGCAAUUCAUGGUUUUGCUGAUCUCUCCCGUCAAUCAAAGCCUGCAUGAGGUAAAGAAGGUCGCGUCUUCUUCUUUUCCACCCAGAAAUUCUUAUUAUCAUAUAGGAAAAGUCAAUUCAGAAUUAUUAAAAACAGAUAAAUCUGAACCAAAUGAAAUGGAACAUUACAUGCCUUAUGAUUAUGAGAUCCAUAAGGAAUCUGUCGCUAAAAAGAAUAAUAACAUUUGUGGUCUGAUAAUUUGUCUCGAGUCUUAUUCCACAGUAAAAAGAUAUCUUGCAUCGUAUUGAUGCUCAAUUUUCUAAGAAUUUGGUUUUGUCCAUUAAAGACUAAUUCAAUACUCUUACUAGUUAGAGCUUAAGGAUCACUUGAUCACUUGUUUAAUGGUUCAAGACUUUCACUUAACAAAAAAACUAUAAAAAUAAAUAAAAUAAAUUUUAAUACUAUCGAAAAAAACAUAAAUUCGAUUUGAAGGAUAAAAUCAAUUAUUUUUAUUAUUAUUAUUAUUGACCUGAGUCUGACAUCCCUUUUCAGACCCAAGAUACUUGAGGCUAGAAAGGGACACCUGAUCCAAGUUGUUUGGGAGUGACAGGAGAGCAGACUCAAGUCCCUUGGGUCUUGCAGCCUCUCCUAGCCCAUGAUACUUGUGUUAGGUGUCUAGACCCAAGCUUGGGUCUCACUGCAAUUCUGAACCCAACAACCUUGGGUCUGGCUGUAAGGACGGACCCCAAGCUCUUGGGUCUCUCUUUCUAGACAGACCUAAUGCUCUUAGGUCUUAGAUUUUUUUUGAUAUUUUUUAUGAAAAACAAAUUGACUCACGACGCAGCGCAGACCACCUAACUAGUAUAGAAUCUAUAGCGAAAAGAAUACCACUUUUGAGGUAUUUAUAUUCUUUUAUUUUUUUAAAAAAUUAAUAUUUAUAUUGGUUUUGUUAUUUGAGUUCUUGUACUCAUGAUAUAAGUUAUUUUGUUGUUGGAAUGCUAAUGUAUUAAUUAAUUUUGUGUCAAGUGAGUGCAUGUAGAUAUUAUUUUAAUAUUUUUUAUAUUAAGUUUCUAACACCAUGAUAUAUACACAGAAAACAUACAAACUAAGGCUAAAUAAUUUUGAAGUAACAAUUUAGUUUAUGAUGCUAACAAGACAAUUUUGAUAAAAAAAAUAAGAAAGGAAGUCUUCCAUAAUUGUUUUUAUAUAUAUAAACUUUUGAAAUGUUAGUAAAUUUCUUCUUCUUCUUCUUCUUCUUCUUCUUUUUUCCAUUCAAAAUUGUCUUGGCAUGCUUAAAAGAAAGAAUGAGAAUAUAGGAUGACAUUGAUGCUUUUCAGGGUGGUCUCCAAAAUUCCUCUCUUUACCAUAAAGUUACACUAGCUAGCAAUUCAUGGUUUUGCUGGUCUCUCCUGUCAAUCAAAGCCUGAAGGUAAAUAAGGUCGCGUCUUACUUCCGUUUUCCAAUCUGAAAUUCUUAUUCUAUCAUAUAGGAAACGUCAUUUUAGAAUCAUUAAAAACAAAUAAAUCUGAACCAAAUGAAAUGGAACAUUGCUAAAAGAAUAAUAAUUUGUUUUGGGUCAUGUGAUACAUCUUAUUCAUGAUGUAAAAAGAUGUUUUCAAUGAUAUUGAUGCUUGAUUUUGUAAAAUACUGUUUGGUUUUGUUGAUUAAAACAAUAAAAUAUUUGGGAUUAAAUUUAAAAUAGAAACAAAGAGGUAGGCAUUUUUAAAAAACUUUUUUUUUAACCAUUCAUGAAGCGCAAAUAUGUUUACUUUAGUCCCUGAAUUUGUUUUCUCUUUAGUUUUGGUUCCUUUUCCAAGGAUUUUAUGUUCCAGUCAUGAAAUUUAUUUGAUUUACAUUUCAACCUCUAAAAUUUGAGAGAAGUGCAAAGUGCCCAGAAAAUAGGAGAGGAGAGAGAGAAUAAUAACAUUUAUAAUAUCAGAAUAUUCUCUCGUUGUAUCCAUCGUUAACCACCAACAUAAUAAUUCCCUCUAUAUAUAUUGAGGGAAUUGUAGUGAGAAAUGAUGAAAUAAAAAAAAAUAAAAAAGUAUGAUGACGUGUCAUUUUUACAGAUAAAAUUACCGACGACAUUAACCCGUUGAUGAAAUUCAUCGGUAAAUUCUUUUGUAAUAUUUAAUUUAUGACCUAGCGAGCAACCCUCCUCUCCCAUUUCCUCUUCCUCCUCCAUUUUUUUCUGUUACAAAAAACACCCCCCUAAUUUUAUCACAAAUUAACCUCCCCUUACAAAGCCACUCCAACACUUAGUUUGUUAAUGUUUUUAUUUGAUUUAAUUUUUAUUAAGGAUUCCCCAUUUCAAGUAAGUAAAACUAUCCAUUGUUUACUUAAACUCAAUUUUAAAAUGUUAACUUGAAAGUUAAAUGGUCAAUUGAGGGUCAAUCUGCAUAAAUCUAAGACCAAGAACUAAUUUGAAAAAGGAGCUAGAAUUCGAGGCUGAUAUUGAAGUUCGGUAGGGAUAAAAUUGCACAAAAUUAGAAAUUUAGGGUAAAUAAGGGGUGCAAUUGAAAGAAAUUAAAAGCCAGAGGAUCAAAUUGAACUUUGGCCAAUCCCUAAAUUAAAACCUUAAAACCCAAAACGACGCCAUUUUAUUUAAAUGAAAGGACACAUUUUGACCAAAACAACGUUGAUUUUUACCUAAACAGUAAAAAAAAUAUAUAGACCAGACGACGCGUCGUUUGGUAUUGUUCAUCUUCUUCAUCAUUUUUUUCAUCUGAAAGUUGUUCGGGUGACCACCUUUUCAGAGCAUUUAAUGCUUCAUCUCUCAACCAAACCAGACAAACCAUACACUACCAUGAUGACCUAACACUUGACCAUACCUCAGUAUGAUUCUUUCUGGCCGAUUGACACCAUAACAACAUUGGUGUUACCCCAAAAUGACCAACUCAUGCAGCUUUUUAGGCCAUGAUAGCAACUUUAAACCAACGGUUAGGAUAUUUUUGGUUUGAAUCAAAGGCCAAGAUUUAUCCCCAAUAAAGACAAAGUGUUACUCUUCCAUCCCUUAUAAAUAGGGGUGCAUUCCAAGUUUUGAAGAGGAAUAAAUCUAAAGCCAAUGUUUGAAGAAACUCAACAAUUUUCCCCUGUUUCUAUUUUUCCUCUCCCUGCCAAUUUUCUGCCACUUCCUCCACCACCAUUGUCGCCACCAGCCACACGUCGGACUUCCCUGCACUACCAGGAACGUCACCGAUUACUUUUCUCCUCUGACCAGACAAGCAUUCCCUCUAUUUUUUCUCCUUAAAACCUCCCCCUCGAAUUGCAGAACGUGAAGAAUCAUGUUCUACAAAAUGCCUAACAUGGUCCCUAGAUUGGGUAGGAAUCAUGUGGGCUUGGGCCGAACACUUUUCAGCCCAGACUAGAUGCUGGGCCGGGUCCGGCCUAGUAUAAAAAGUGUUUUGGGCCUCGGCCGACCUAACUAGACCAUGUCUGGGCCUGAAGCAUAGCCUAGCUAAAAAAAGAGGGAAGUUAGGUCUAUUGGGCCGCCUAUCAGCCCGACCCAACCCAGCCGGGUCCGGCCUAGCCCAUAUAAUAAUAAUAUAAUAUUAUAUAAUUAUAUAAUAAUAAAAAAACCAAAAAUUUCCAAAAGUCCUUAAAAUUUUUUUUGAUUUCCUCGCAUGUUUUUCUACCAAUUUUGUAUAAUAUCGGGUUGUAUAUUUACACUGUAAGAUACAAAUCCUAUAUUAAAAUACUCGAUUUUCUUCGAAACUUAAAAAAAUUUAAAAUUAAAAAAAUUAAAUUAGUUUUCUCUUUGAAAAAAAAUAUUUUAUUUUCAUGCAUACAACCAAAUCCUAAAAUUUUUUCAAGCAUAUUUAAAAAAAAACAAAGAAAAAAAAAUGCAUCUUUCUCAUGUUUUAAAAUACAAAAAUAAAUAUUGUAACUAAUUUAUGAUUAUGUGUUAGGGUUUGAUCAAAAUAUCAAAAACCCUUCACCAAUCAUUUUGUUCACUUAAUGUUUAAAGUGUUAGGGUUUAGCUAUAGACUUUAAUAUUUGAGGGUGUAAAACUACACAGUAGAGUAUACUCAUAGGUAUUAAAGACACAAAAAAAUAAAUACGAUGCUAAAAUAUAGAUUUUAGAAUGGUUAGGAUUUAACCCGAUAAGAUAGAGACUCCUCAUGAAGAAAGAUCUACCUUGUACCUUAGAAAAGACUAAUGGACAGAAACAUGACCUAGAAAAACAAUCAAACAACAUGUAGCUUACCUUAGGUAGGGUGCAUUGAGGGUGAUGUGUCUUCUCCUUGCACAACCAGUCCCUUACCUGAACUCUCGCAGACCAUAGGUUUUCUAGUAACUAUAAUACUAGGUGGUGACUCUUGAACCUUAUAAUCAUAACUUUAUGAUUAUACACAAACCCUCUUUUCAACACAUCUUCUCAAGAGACAGACCUGCCAUCGCUCGACACCAUGCGCGUUGCGACAAGUAUAAUACUUAACAUGUCGUUACUUUCAAAUAAUUUAUCUCUUAUUAUAUCAUGAACUGAUAGAUUAUUGAAUUCCUAGUUGGUAACAUCAUCAUUUUUUACUAUCCUAAAACUCAUAGCUAAUCCAAUUUUAAAUCUUUUGAUUACAAGAUGAACAAUUUUCCACGUAAUUUAAAACACAUUUAAGGACUGUUAAUUAUUCUUAUCUCUCGAGAUACUUAAUUUCAUUUUACAUUUCUUGUUUAAUAUUAAUGGUUGUAAUUCAUGUACCAGGUUUAUCAAUUGAGAGGAAAUGCUAGUGUUACUUUCAAUUUACUAAGUCUGGAUCCUGAAAGAAAGGUGAAGUGCUAUAACAUGUAUUUUAUCAAUGGACACGUGUUUCAUACUAAAGAGUAGGGUCAAGGUAGAAAGACAUAUAAUAAUGAGGUUUGUGUUAAGCGAAUUUGAAGUUGACUAUUAUGGAAAGUUAGAAAAUAUCAUAGCAAGUAGAAUAUAGUUUUUUUGUUCAAAUUUUAAUGGUAUGAUAUCAUUGACAGAGGAAUUGGAGUAGAUUUCCAUCAUGGUUUAGUUGAAAUUAAUACAAAGGCUAAACUUUGCAACAUCGACAAUGUCUUUGUUUUCUCUAUGCAAUGCUAGCAAGUUCACAUACACCUCUUCAUUUAUAAAUGAUUUUUCAAGAGUUGAUUGAUUAUCCAUAGUAAAAACAAAACCCAGGGGUCAUGUCCAGGUUGUUUAAGAUGACAACAAUGAAUUAACAGUGGGAGAUGAUGUCUUUCAACUUGAUGAGUUAGUUAAUCCAUAUCGAGUUGCUCUGUCUAAUUACUUGGAAGAAAAUUCAAAGUUUUGUAUCGCUGAGAAUACUUUCAUUAAUGUUGAUAUUGAGGAGUUAAAAGAUGUUUUGAGAACCAACAAAUAUACCCAAGUUGAUGAAGAAGAUGAUAGAAAUGAAAUCAAUGUGUAAGAUUGCAAUGAAGAUGACGAUGAUGCAAUUGAAGAAGAAAAAGAAGAAGACAAUUCUAAUUAAUUUGCACAACACAUAUAUGUAAUGUCAUAAAUUAUAACGUAAUAUUUCUGGAUGAAAUUAACUUUAAUGUAAUGACAAUGAUGUUAAUUUAUUAUUAAAUGACAAGGAAACAUUUAUUUUAUGUGAUUUUAAUAUUAUACAUAAAACUGAUGUUGUUGUGAUUUUAAGUAUUUGCAGGAUGAAUAGAUAAGAAAUACGGAUACAAUCUAGCAACAUAAAUUAUUUUACACGGAUGGAAAUGCUGAUGGACUGUAAAUAUCAACAGAUACAACGAUGGAUUAAGUCUGUUGGUAUAUUCCAGAGAGCAUUGGAAUUGUUCCCUUCUCUCUGACACUGUUUUUUGGAACUAUUCACGUCUCAAUUGCACUGUUUAUAUUGUCCAUUAAAUACGGGAUCAUUAACGGUUAAUAUCUAUCUGUAUUUUUCUGAGAGCUUUGGAGUUGUUUACUUCUCAAUUGCAUUGUUCAUGGUGUCCAUUACAUACGGGAUCACCAACGAUUUAAUGUUCGUCGGUAUUUUCCCGAAAACUUUGGAACUGUUCACUUCUCAAUUGCAAUGUUAAUUACUUUUUUUAGAUGGAAUCACCGACAGAUUAAAAAGUCAUUGAAAAUAUUUGAGGGCUUUCGAAAAAAAAUUUUAUUAAAUUAAAAUUUUCAAUUAAACGUUACAGAUAAAAACACUGAAAGAAAAAUUAAAAUAUUAAUAUUUAAUUUUUUAUCAGGAGAUUUGUCGGUAAAAAUCCCCUAAAUUAAAUGACAGAAAAUCCCUAAUUUCAUAACAAAUGGGUAAAAUACAAUCUCUCUCAUCCUCUGCAUCUUCUUCUCUCUCCUAUACGUCUCCAUCUUUCUUUCUGUUCUCUCUCUCCUUCUCUCAUCAACCCAUUCUCUUCUCUUCCCCUCUACGUUCAGGUAUGUCUUCUCCUAUUUUCUCCUUCUCUUAUUCUCUUGUUAUUUAACAUAAUGUUUGAAUUUUUUUUCUCUUCUCAUGUUCAAUCACAAUGACAUUAAGGUAACAUUUUUAUUUUUCCUUACUUAUUUUUGUGAUUUUUUGCAUUAUAUUUUUUAAUUUGUUUUUCAAAAUUUUAUGUUCUUAAUAAUUGAAUGAAUUUUGUUUUAUUUUUUAAAAUUUUCCUGUUCUCUAAUGAUUGUAUGAAUGUUGCAGGAUUUUUUUUUAAUUUUUUUGUUCUUUAAUGAUUAAAGAGUACGUGCCCUUUUUUUAAGUUUUUUAAAUUUAAAUGUUGGAAUGAACAAUUGAAAUUUUUUAUUAAAUUCUUUUUUGAUUUUUUUUUAGGGGUGGGGGUUGAAAAUCUCUAAAUCUCAAAUUUUAGGGUUGUGUAAUUUGUAUAGAAAUGGUAGUUGACUAACCUGUUUGUUUGUUUUGGUAUGAGAAAUGGUGUAAUAGGAAGUAAAUAGAAAGAAAUUGAAAUCAAUUAUGAAAAUUAAACCCCUCAAUUGGUCGGCCAUAUGUAGGAAUUCGGGGGUUUUGUGAAAUUUGAUUAAAUUAUAUUGAUUUUGAUGUUUUAAUAAUGUGAGGAAUGUUUAAAAUUGGAAAUAUGAAAACUUAUUAAAUUGUAUUAAGUUUGGUGUUUUAAUGUAUUUGGUUGUAUGAAAACGUGGAAAAGGGAAUGAUAUGCUUCAAUGUAAAUUGAUAGCAUAGAAAUUGUGAGUUUAAUUUUGUAUGGUUAAAGCAAUUGGGUUAUUAUAUGUUUGAGUUGUUAUUGAUAUAUUAUUGGGGGAAUAGAGAACUGUAAGAUUAUGUGUUUGGAUGUAAUUGGUAAUUUGGAAAUGAAAAGGACAUUUUGAAAUGGUAAGGGUUAGGGUUUUUAUCACACAAACUGUAGGAUUUUAUUUUAUUUUAUCAAAAAAAUCGAGGAGGGGAAGAAGUAUUCAAUCCUUAAAGUGAUCUUAUUACCAUACAAUCCAAUUCUAUUUAUAUAGAUUGAAAUAAAAUCAAAUGGUUUGUGAUAAUUCAUUUAAAUUGUUAUGUAUUUGCAGGUUUAAUAAUUUUAGGUAGUCUGUAUAUAUAUAUAUAUAUAUAUGUGUGGGAGAUGCUGCCAUUUAAAAAAAAAGAUAGAAAUAGCUUGUUGUAUGAAGAAAAUCACUGCUAGUUUUUCUAAUAGGAUACAUUCAAGUGGUUGUGGGGUCUUUUCAUAGUCAAGCUUCUAUUCUCUUCUGCAAGGAAAUAGGAGGGAUUAACAACCACGUGCAGGAACGAUUCAUAAGUAGUGGAGGAAGAAAUAAAUCUAAAGUCGUUGCAUUGAUUUUCACUUUCGGUUUUGUUAUUUUUUAUUAUUUGAAUUUAUUUCAUUAUGCUGAAAGUCUAUUAGAUUUAAUUGUAGUUAAUGCUCAUGGACAUCAAAUUGUGAUUUCUUUCGAUGGCCCAUUCAAAGUCUUAUCACAUUGUGCUUGGAUUGAAUUAGGGUAUUUGGUGAUCCUUCAAAUCAGUGCUUUUAAAUCAGGCCCAGUGGGUGACCCGGCCUAAGACACGGGUCACGGGUUUUAACCGAGUCACCUAGGUAACCUUAAUUUUUUUUUAUAAAUUAAAACGAUAUUAUUUUAGUAAAAAAUAAAAAAACAGUCAACGGGUUGCAACCGAGUUUUCCGGGUCAACAGGUCAUCGGGUCAACCCGUAAGGUCGAACGGGUCAGCCGGGCUUUUAAUUACCCUUAUUUUUUUUAUAAACCCAACUCAGUUCUAGCUCCGGGUCAGCCAAGUCCUGGGUCGAUCCAUUGGGCCGAGUCAGGUUUUAAAACUAUGAUUUCUUUUUACCACAUUGAAACCCAUAUGGGUCAUUUUGACAUUCAUUUGAUUGAUGAAAAUAUAAUAAAAAUAGUGAUACGUUUUUCUAUCUCACAUUUUGGAUAGAUAGAAAUAUAAUAAAAAUUAAAAAUUAAAAAAAAGUAUGCAUGUGAAUGCCAUGUUUUAUAUAUGCUCGUGUUCUAAAGAGGGUCAGUGCUAUUGGAUAGAAUCUAGCAUAUAUAUUGCACUUCAUUUGUUAAUUUUUUGCAACAAUAAAAACAUGGAAAGAUCUUCACUGCUAAACCUAAUGACCAAGCUUAGUUCAAAUCAAACAACAAUACCUAAAAUACAUCUUUUCUAUGGUUUUCGUAACAAGAAAGACUAAGGAUCUCACAUGUUUCAUGAUUGUUAGUUCCCAGCCUAGAAAUCCAAUUUUCUUUCAUCUGUAAUAAGAUAAAACAUAAAUUAACUAUAAAACCACAACCAUGCAUUAAAAUUCAAACAAAUAGUUCAUUUUAGUAGGAUUUUACCCUAGGUGAUCUCAUGGCUUAUAUUCCAUAUAUAUAUUCAAAAAAUUAUUAACCUAAACUAACUGACAUAGAACAAUCCAAAAGAGAUCAAAUGAAAGAUAUUUAAACCAAGCUGUUGCGAUUGCUUGGGAGUGUUGCUGGCACCUUGUUAAUUUCCUUUCUACUCUCGAAUGCCCGGCAAUAAUAUACUAAUAAUUGGAGUUCAUUUUAUACUACUAAAUCAUAUAAUUAAUAAUAUUAUACAUACACUAAACAAAUUUAAACCACUAUUCUAGCAACUUGGUUUUAUUAGUUAUUAAUAGGGUAAAGACUACGCUUCUGAAUCAGUCUUUAAUCGACAAAACCAAAUACUAUUUUACAAAAUCGAGCGUUAAUAUUAUGGUGGUACAAUCGGGGAAUCAAAAUAGGUUGUCUGCUGUGAUUCGGGAGAAGCAAGGUAAAGUUGCCAGUGGUAGUCCCAAUGCGCCUAUGCACUCGAUAUUAUCCAUGAUCCUUCUGAGGAGGAGAUUGUGUGCCUAAGGAAUAGCCACACAAGUUCUCAUAUCAUUUGAUUCUUAUGGUAUUAUGAUGGAAGCAUUCGAAAUGGAUACAACACCAUGGAGUGUCUACUUUGGUGAAUUAAGGCCUAGCAUUGACGGAUGGUCCUAUCGAUCGGUUUGCCUGGCUUGAGGUCACUGACCUACCAAUUGUUUAUUGGAAUGUAAAUAGCAACAACAAGAUUCUGUCAGCGUAUGGCAGAAUUAGUUUUGUCAAGAUUAGUUUUUGAUACAGCAGUCUUGUCCGUAUUAACAUUUUAGCUGGAACAAGACAAAGCAGAUUCAUUAAGGAGUCGGUAAAUUUUAAGCUGAGAGGAACUGAUUAUCAUGUUAUUAUACAGGAUCAUGAUCCUCUGCAUUUUCCAGUCUUUGACGCUAUUGAGUACAACAUGAAGGCCUUUAACCUCAUGCUGGAGGAAGAAGAUGAUGCAACAGAGUCCAGUAGAGAUGGCAUGGCUCUCCAAAGGCUGCAAGGGUGGAAAGAGGGAUGGCUCUAUUCCAUCCCAUUCUGGUUGUGUACGCUAUUGGUGGGUGUAAAACAGUUUUUAAAACUUUUUUAAAUAUUAAAUAUUUAUUUUUUUAUAAUUUUAUUCUUGUUAAUUAUUGUGAAAGAACCAUUUCAAUUCAGAAGUUUAAACUGUUAGGUAAAGUUUUAAUAUAUAAUUGAUGAAACCUGCACAGGACCACACUAUCUCAUGCGUAAUUUUUAUCACAUAAAUAAAAAUAAUGAGAUUCGAACUCAUGACCGUUUGGUCAUCAAAACUUUGAUACCAUGUCAAAAAACUAAUACAAAAACUUAAGUUGUAAGAUGAAUUUCUAAGAUAUAAUUUAUAUAUUUUCUAACUAUUACUGUAAUUAAUUAUUAGAAAUGAUUCAAUUCACCUCAUGAUAUCACUCCAUAGCAUAUAUUAUUAUUAUUAUUAUUAUUAUUAUUAUAAAACACAUUGAAUUUUAGUGAUUAAAGCGCACACGUUAUUAUUAUUCAUCGACACAGACAAGAUACAUAUAUAGAGGGAUGGCCGCCUUGGUUACAUAAAUACCCACAAUAUCAGAAGGCAUCGCCCUUUCAUGCUACAACCUCCAUAGAAGGGAAGCAUACCAGGAGCCAGCCUUCAAGUGAGUGAAUAUAUAUGGUAGCCUAGCAAGCCAAACCAAAAGGUACAUACGUUUUACAUCUUAGUAUAUAAGUGGGCGGGACCAUGCAUGCAUAUAAUUAAAGCUCCUUUGAACUCUUUAUUCCUCAAUACAGACACUAGUAAGGGCAUGUUCUGUGAUGUUGGAUAUGUUUAGUCAUCAUUAGAACGAAGAUAAAUAUCAACAGUAGCGUUGAUAGUAGGAAAAAGUUUGAGGUAAAAAUCAGGGUCUUCGCUGGUUGGCUUUUUUUUCUGAUAUUCGAUGGUCCAUUUUGCGGUGCUGGCAGAAGUAACCUGUAGAGUGACGGUGAAGUUGUCAUAUAAUUGCAGCAACGAUCCUUCCAGCAAUUUGUAGGUGAUUUUCCUGGAGCGGUCGUCAAUGGCUUCAACUAUAUACUUGAAUUUCUCCGCAGUAUCUGAUUAUAAUUAAAAAAUCAAUGCCUAGUCUUAUAAAUGUCCUAGUCAUUUUAAUCAGAAUUUGAUCUAUUAUAGCUAGAAUUCAAAUCAUUUAUUGAAUGGAUCAGUACUGUAAUAUUGUAAUUGCAUCCUUAAUUAAUCUCGUACGUACCACGGCAAGACUCGGCAGACAGGAUUUCAAUCACCUUGCGAGAGCCAACAGUAUUAACCCAGCUUUUGUUACUGUCAACAAGUCCUAUUGUCUGCACAACAGAACCGCAGACAUUCGGUAAGAAGUUUGCUUGUUUCUUGAAGAACUUAUAAAAGGCAGUAGUAGAGCAUUGAAUUGGUGUUUCAACGACUUUUCGGCUACGGGGAGCAAAACCAGAAAAUAAAUGAACUGGUGUUUCAAAGAAGUUUUCUUGA